Molecule: unclassified non-coding RNA, 354 nt
Filed under: soil metagenome
Description: partial contains 5.8S ribosomal RNA, internal transcribed spacer 2, and large subunit ribosomal RNA
Rfam family: 5.8S ribosomal RNA (bases 1-120)
Source: RNAcentral
GAUGAAGAACGUAGCGAAAUGCGAUAAGUAAUGUGAAUUGCAGAAUUCCGUGAAUCAUCGAAUCUUUGAACGCACAUUGCGCCCACUGGCAUUCCGGGGGGCAUGCCUGUCCGAGCGUCAUUUCUGCCCUCCAGCCCGGCUGGGUGUUGGGCGCUGUCCCCCCGGGGACACGCCCCAAAGGCAGUGGCGGCGCCGCGUCGGGUCCUCGAGCGUAUGGGGCUUUGUCACCCGCUCGGGACGGACUCGUCGGCGCUGGUCUUCCUCCAGGCGACCCUUCGGGGCUCGUCUUCCUUCGGUUGACCUCGGAUCAGGUAGGGUUACCCGCUGAACUUAAGCAUAUCAAUAAGCGGAGGA